GGAGGGAUGCCCGAGCGGCCAAAGGGAGCAGACUGUAAAUCUGCCGGCUCCACGCCUACGGUGGUUCGAAUCCACCUCCCUCCA
This 84-nucleotide transfer RNA is filed under the name Myxococcales bacterium. Its description in RNAcentral is "tRNA-Tyr". It matches the Rfam family "tRNA". Rfam says of the family: Transfer RNA (tRNA) molecules are approximately 80 nucleotides in length. Their secondary structure includes four short double-helical elements and three loops (D, anti-codon, and T loops). Further hydrogen bonds mediate the characteristic L-shaped molecular structure. tRNAs have two regions of fundamental functional importance: the anti-codon, which is responsible for specific mRNA codon recognition, and the 3' end, to which the tRNAs corresponding amino acid is attached (by aminoacyl-tRNA synthetases). tRNAs cope with the degeneracy of the genetic code in two manners: having more than one tRNA (with a specific anti-codon) for a particular amino acid; and 'wobble' base-pairing, i.e. permitting non-standard base-pairing at the 3rd anti-codon position. RNAcentral also lists the same sequence under 2 other names. The record is from RNAcentral. Lineage: Bacteria; Pseudomonadati; Myxococcota; Myxococcia; Myxococcales.